Molecule: long non-coding RNA, 1237 nt
Organism: Mytilus californianus (California mussel)
Lineage: Eukaryota; Metazoa; Mollusca; Bivalvia; Mytilida; Mytilidae
Exons: 2
Source: RefSeq, a predicted model, not a curated record
AACAGAUCAUGAAUUUGUAUUACUAGUAUUUGUAUUGACGAGUUUUUAUGACAGACAAAGUUAUUGUUGAUAUCAGUGAAGGUUGGAACUCUUGCGGAUUAAAUUUCUGUAAAUACCUAUAUUUGCAUAUCAUCUGCAGUACGACCUUUUGGAGUUCUAAAAAACCAUUAACUUAACUGAAUUAUGAAACGUUAGUAAAGUAUUAUGGCGAGCGUAAGUUCGGCUAGACGGAGACAUUCAGCGCCUGUUGUACCAUUACCUACUGGAACAACACGUCGAAGUUCGGGACCCCCAAGAUUACAACUGAAGAAAAAAGUAACAUUAGUUAACAAGUUUGAUACAGUCUUGUUCGGGAGGGAUGUUGAAGUGAAAAGAGGAUGCAUUUUACAUGAUGACAAACUAAUACUUUGUGGUGUUGACAAUUAUGUGUACAUUUGUAAUCCGGAUGGUAAACGGUCUAAUAGAAUUUCAGUCCAGUUUACUCCGUCAGAUAUUGCUCUCUUCGAUGAGAAACGCGCCGUAGUAUCAGGUGAAAAAGGGUACCAGAUUAUUGACAUUGAAACACUGAAAGCGGGACCUCUUUUUAAACCAGGUGGAAUUUGUACAGCCGUUGCUUGUACUAAGGACAAUAUUGUUGUUGCUAACGACUACUGCAAGCUCACUUACUUAACAAUAACUGGAGAAACAGUUAAAAGUUUCAACACAACACACAGUCCAUUAACAAUGACGGGUAGUCAAGACGGGUUCAUAUACUGGACUACUUGGGACAAUGAUGAAGUACAUUAUAUAGAUCCGACGGGAACAGAGAGAUUUUUUUUCGCUAGUCCCGAUUUACAAGAUCCUGUGGGAGUGUCAGUUGACAAAAAAGGAGAUGUGUUCGUUAUUGGACACAAAUCGAAUAACGUUCAUAAAAUUACACACGAAGGAAAUACAGACAAGAUUGUGUUGAAAGAAAGCAAUGGAUUAAAGAUGCCAUCUGGCAUGGCAAUAAGUCCAAAGAAAUCUGAACUGAUGAUAAUCAAUGAUAAGAAAUCCAUAAGCAUCUUUAAAAUACAGUAAUUUUUCGCUUUUAUAUACAGAUGCAUAUAUCAAACUCAUACAAUAGCAGACGUAAAUUAAAAAGAGGGAUUACAUUAUUUUAUUAUCAGUACAUAUUCGACAUAUCAAUCAUCAUGCAGUUAUUUCAAUUAGUGUCAUAAUAAAUGUUCACAUCUUUUGAUCAAAGACCAUGUUACUA